CUUAAAGCGGUCGCAUUUGUUCACAAAAAUAUUUAAAUAAUAUAAUCUUGAGAAAAGGUUGAACACAUUUCUCUGGCGCUUUACUAUAAUUUCCACCAAUUAUUCCUAUAGAGCAGUAAUAAUUAAAUGACAUUCAAGUCACAGUUAGUCACUGUCAAGGAAAAUAUUGUUGUAUUGUUGUACUUAUUUAAAAACCCUAGCUCUAUAUCCUGGCCCAUUAUGGCAGCCCCGCGACAGAGUUUAAUUGGGCCACGUUGUUCACCUGUUUGUUGCCCGAGGUGUAAAUUACAAAUCUGAACCGCGCAUAAUGAAUGAAGCAGGCCGAGUGACAAAAUGGAAGCCUAAAUGAAAUGAAAUCGCAGUGAAAACGCUUCUAUUUAAAACCUGGCCAAGGCUUGGACAAAAGUUUUCACGGAGCGCGACAAACUGCGGUCCAAGUUGAUUAGAAAGCGGCCGCACAUUGUCGCCUGGGACUGAAAGUGGGAAAGUGGAAAUGAGGGAAUGAGGAGGGACUACGGGAAUCUGCCAUUGGCAGCAGCCUAAUGAGAAACUUGAAAAUUUACGGUCAACGAGUUGUCAGAGUUCCGGCACCGGGGCAUAGUUUCAGAUGCCAAGUCAAACAAUUAAGCGCUGCUCAGCGCCCUGUUCCCAAUGAAUUCCCAUUUUAAAUAAAUAAUUGCCAACGAAAUUAAGCAAU
Drosophila virilis is the source of this 697-nucleotide non-coding RNA. The record is from RefSeq and is a predicted model, not a curated record. NCBI's taxonomy places the organism in Eukaryota, Metazoa, Arthropoda, Insecta, Diptera, Drosophilidae.